This 1006-nucleotide long non-coding RNA is filed under the name Eutrema salsugineum. RNAcentral describes it as "long non-coding RNA (ESAL_LNC000875)". The record is from RNAcentral. Lineage: Eukaryota; Viridiplantae; Streptophyta; Magnoliopsida; Brassicales; Brassicaceae.
GAAGUCUCACACCGAGGGCCAUACACCAGGGGGUCAUGUGCUGGGUUGAAACUUUGAUGAACACUUGAAGAACAUGCAUGAGACUUGGCCUUUGAUCCGGUUAAAGCUUUGAAACGUGAAGAGAGUUUGUUUGUGAUCUUGGUUGGAGAGAUGAGGACCUCGGCAUAACAUGCCGAGGGGCUUGGUACCCGAGGUUUGUGUAACAUAGGAGCUCGGCAUAACAUGCUGAAGGGUUCACGCCAAGGUCUGCUUCAACACUUAGUCGUUUUGUGAACAUUUUGGUGAUCAAGGGAGCCUUGGUGUUGAAAGACCGAAGUCCUACCUCGAGGUAUAGUCCCAAGGCUUCGUAAACAUGCCUCCUCGGCAUACAUGCCGAGGUAUUCACGCCGAGGUAGGACACAACACUUAGCUUACAGUCGCAUCUCUUAAAACCCGAAUUGACCAGCUUCUCUUCUGUUCAGUGUAACUUUCAGCUCAUAACUCCAAAUGACCUAAAACCAGUUCCAUGAGAAAGAUAACUCAUUCAGCUCAAUCUUUGGUGAAAAAACUAUCGGCGUUUGGGAAGUGGAGGGCUUCCUGGAGGGCUCAUCUCCGCAGUGCAUUUACACGAUCAGAGAGAGGCGUCUAGACAUGUGUCCAUUCCGGAAACGGUAACUUCUUUCUCAUAGAUCCGAAUUGAAUGAUCUCGGACGUUCUGGAACGAGGACUCAAAUAUCUUUGAUUCUCAUGAAGGCCUUGUAAACCGAAUCGUCCUGUAAGUGCGCCGUCCUUUGCAUUCUUCAGAGCUCAUCGGGUCGGCCCAAGACGGCAGCGAGACAGGGGUUUCUUCCGAUGAGCUCAACUUUCUGCUCACGCGUCCGAAUUCCAUUAUUCCACUUGCUAUGGAACCAUGAUCCAAUCUUCUACAACUUUGAUGAAGCCCCCGACAACUGAAUCGGACCGGAAGGUUCCCCGGACAGGCGAUCAUUCAGGAGUAUCGGAUUGCUCCGGAAUGGAUGCGAGAGAG